RNAcentral lists this ribosomal RNA (328 nucleotides) under uncultured eukaryote. RNAcentral describes it as "partial 18S ribosomal RNA". It matches the Rfam family "Eukaryotic small subunit ribosomal RNA", at positions 1470 to 1796 of the family's 1831-position model. The record is from RNAcentral.
CCCUUAGAUAUCCUGGGCCGCACGCGUGCUACACUGACGCUGACAGCGAGUAUUUCCAGCUCCGAGAGGCAGCUGGUAAUCAGCAAUCGGCGUCGUGAUGGGGAUAGACCCUUGGAAUUGUGGGUCUUGAACGAGGAAUGCCUAGUAAGCGCAGGUCAUCAGCCUGCGUUGAUUAAGUCCCUGCCCUUUGUACACACCGCCCGUCGCUCCCACCGAUUGAAUGGUCCGGUGAAUUCUUCGGACUGCGGCUUUGACUCGAUUUCGGUCGAGGCGUUGCUGCGGGAAGUUGAUUAAACCUUACCAUUUAGAGGAAGGUGAAGUCGUAACA